Molecule: ribosomal RNA, 428 nt
Filed under: uncultured bacterium
Lineage: Bacteria
Description: bacterial SSU rRNA
Rfam family: Bacterial small subunit ribosomal RNA
Source: RNAcentral
GUGGGGAAUAUUGGACAAUGGGCGAAAGCCUGAUCCAGCCAUGCCGCGUGUGUGAAGAAGGUCUUCGGAUUGUAAAGCACUUUAAGUUGGGAGGAAGGGCUGCAAGCUAAUACCUUGUAGUUUUGACGUUACCAACAGAAUAAGCACCGGCUAACUUCGUGCCAGCAGCCGCGGUAAUACGAAGGGUGCAAGCGUUAAUCGGAAUUACUGGGCGUAAAGCGCGCGUAGGUGGUUUGGUAAGAUGGAUGUGAAAUCCCCGGGCUCAACCUGGGAACUGCAUCCAUAACUGCCUGACUAGAGUACGGUAGAGGGUGGUGGAAUUUCCUGUGUAGCGGUGAAAUGCGUAGAUAUAGGAAGGAACACCAGUGGCGAAGGCGACCACCUGGACUGAUACUGACACUGAGGUGCGAAAGCGUGGGGAGCAAACA